Molecule: ribosomal RNA, 505 nt
Filed under: uncultured bacterium
Lineage: Bacteria
Description: bacterial SSU rRNA
Rfam family: Bacterial small subunit ribosomal RNA
Source: RNAcentral
GAUGAACGCUAGCGGCAGGCCUAACACAUGCAAGUCGAGGGGUAGUUACUUUCGGGUAAUGAGACCGGCGCACGGGUGCGUAACGCGUAUGCAAUCUACCUUUUACAGGGGAAUAGCCCAGAGAAAUUUGGAUUAAUGCCCCAUAGUAUGUAUGAAUCGCAUGGUUUAUACAUUAAAGUUCCAACGGUAAAAGAUGAGCAUGCGUCCCAUUAGUUAGUUGGUAAGGUAACGGCUUACCAAGACGAUGAUGGGUAGGGGUCCUGAGAGGGGAGAUCCCCCCACACUGGUACUGAGACACGGACCAGACUCCUACGGGAGGCAGCAGUGAGGAAUAUUGGACAAUGGGCGCAAGCCUGAUCCAGCCAUGCCGCGUGCAGGAAGAAGCAUCUAUGGUGUGUAAACUGCUUUUGUACAGGAAGAAACACUCCCUCGUGAGGGAGUUUGACGGUACUGUAAGAAUAAGGAUCGGCUAACUCCGUGCCAGCAGCCGCGGUAAAGUACAGUG